This 1444-nucleotide ribosomal RNA is filed under the name uncultured organism. RNAcentral's name for it is "16S ribosomal RNA". It matches the Rfam family "Bacterial small subunit ribosomal RNA". The record is from RNAcentral.
GCUAGCUACAGGCUUAACACAUGCAAGUCGAGGGGCAGCAUGGUCUUAGCUUGCUAAGGCCGAUGGCGACCGGCGCACGGGUGAGUAACGCGUAUCCAACCUGCCUUACACUCUUGGACAGCCUUCUGAAAGGGAGAUUAAUACAAGAUGUUAUCAUGAGUAAGCAUUUUCGCAUGAUUAAAGGUUUACCGGUGUAAGAUGGGGAUGCGUUCCAUUAGAUAGUAGGCGGGGUAACGGCCCACCUAGUCUUCGAUGGAUAGGGGUUCUGAGAGGAAGGUCCCCCACAUUGGAACUGAGACACGGUCCAAACUCCUACGGGAGGCAGCAGUGAGGAAUAUUGGUCAAUGGACGAGAGUCUGAACCAGCCAAGUAGCGUGAAGGAUGAAGGUUCUAUGGAUUGUAAACUUCUUUUAUACGGGAAUAAACGAAUCCACGUGUGGAUUUUUGCAUGUACCGUAUGAAUAAGGAUCGGCUAACUCCGUGCCAGCAGCCGCGGUAAUACGGAGGAUCCGAGCGUUAUCCGGAUUUAUUGGGUUUAAAGGGAGCGUAGAUGGGUUGUUAAGUCAGUUGUGAAAGUUUGCGGCUCAACCGUAAAAUUGCAAUUGAUACUGGCAGUCUUGAGUACAGUUGAGGUAGGCGGAAUUCGUGGUGUAGCGGUGAAAUGCUUAGAUAUCACGAAGAACUCCGAUUGCGAAGGCAGCUUACUAACCUGUAACUGACAUUGAUGCUCGAAAGUGUGGGUAUCAAACAGGAUUAGAUACCCUGGUAGUCCACACGGUAAACGAUGAAUACUCGCUGUAGGCGAUAUACAGUCUGCGGCCAAGCGAAAGCAUUAAGUAUUCCACCUGGGGAGUACGCCGGCAACGGUGAAACUCAAAGGAAUUGACGGGGGCCCGCACAAGCGGAGGAACAUGUGGUUUAAUUCGAUGAUACGCGAGGAACCUUACCCGGGCUUAAAUUGCAACCGAAUAUGGCGGAAACGCUAUAGCUAGCAAUAGCGGUUGUGAAGGUGCUGCAUGGUUGUCGUCAGCUCGUGCCGUGAGGUGUCGGCUUAAGUGCCAUAACGAGCGCAACCCUUGCCGAUAGUUACUAACAGGUCAUGCUGAGGACUCUGUCGGGACUGCCAUCGUAAGAUGUGAGGAAGGUGGGGAUGACGUCAAAUCAGCACGGCCCUUACGUCCGGGGCUACACACGUGUUACAAUGGGGGGUACAGAGGGCUGCUACCACGCAAGUGGAUGCCAAUCCCAAAAACCUCUCUCAGUUCGGAUUGAAGUCUGCAACCCGACUUCAUGAAGCUGGAUUCGCUAGUAAUCGCGCAUCAGCCACGGCGCGGUGAAUACGUUCCCGGGCCUUGUACACACCGCCCGUCAAGCCAUGGGAGCCGGGGGUACCUGAAGUGCGUAACCGCAAGGAGCGCCCUAGGGUAAAACUGGUGACUGGGGC